RNAcentral lists this ribosomal RNA (117 nucleotides) under Sinocyclocheilus rhinocerous. Lineage: Eukaryota; Metazoa; Chordata; Actinopteri; Cypriniformes; Cyprinidae. The record is from RNAcentral.
GUAGGCAGCCAUUUCACCCUGCAGCCCAAGACUGGUUGCCCACUGAAGCUAAGCAGGGUUGAGCCUGGUCAGUACCUGGAUGGGAGACCUCCUGGGAAAACUAGGUUGCUGCUGGAA